RNAcentral lists this ribosomal RNA (427 nucleotides) under uncultured eukaryote. Its description in RNAcentral is "bacterial SSU rRNA". It matches the Rfam family "Eukaryotic small subunit ribosomal RNA", at positions 592 to 1018 of the family's 1831-position model. The record is from RNAcentral.
CAAUAGCGUAUACUAACGUUGUUGCAGUUAAAAGCUCGUAGUUGGAUUUCUGGUCGGUGACGUUUAGGUGUGGCCUCGUUGCUCCACUGAGCGUUCAUUGAUCAAAAUUUGUCACAACUCGUCAUUAUCCGUUCAUUCGGAUGGGGCGACUAAUGACUCGUUUACUUUGAGAAAAUUAGAGUGUUCAAAGCAGGCAAUUGCCUUGAAUAUGUUAGCAUGGAAUAAUAACAUAGGACUUCAGUUCUAUUUGUUGGUUGUUCGAGAAUUGGAGUAAUGAUUGAUAGGGACGGUUGGGGGCAUCCGUAUUCCCAAGCGAGAGGUGAAAUUCUUGGACCUUGGGAAGACGAACAGAUGCGAAAGCGUUUGCCAAGGACGUUCUCUUUAAUCAAGAACGAAAGUUGGGGGAUCGAAGAUGAUUAGAUACCAU